Non-coding RNA from Acanthosepion pharaonis, 84 nucleotides. NCBI's taxonomy places the organism in Eukaryota, Metazoa, Mollusca, Cephalopoda, Sepiida, Sepiidae. The record is from the annotation of a GenBank genome assembly.
GAGUUCCCGUACGAUCACUGAAGUUAAGUAACGUCGAGCCUGGUCAGUACCUAGAUGGGUAAACGCUUGGGAAUACCAGGUGCU